Molecule: long non-coding RNA, 959 nt
Organism: Suricata suricatta (meerkat)
Lineage: Eukaryota; Metazoa; Chordata; Mammalia; Carnivora; Herpestidae
Exons: 3
Source: RefSeq, a predicted model, not a curated record
AACAUUAAAAAAAUUAAAACAAAACCCCAAAAUACGCUAUUUCUGAAUUGCAAGAAACACCUCUCAUAGCCGCUGCCGGGCGUGGUCCUUUCUGCCUUGGGGUUUGCUGGCCGUCCCCACACAAUGAGUUCUUGAUCACCAGUUAGCUCACCGCACUCCUGCUGAGUUUCAACUGACUGAACUUCCAGGAUCGCUUAUCGCUCUGAUUCUACUGAAGUGUAUUCAAGUACAGACUCUGUCAUGAAAGACAGGUCCAUGUGGCAGAUCACCGGGUCCUGCCUCGGGUCCUGCAGGAGACCCUGUGAAACAUGGCCCAAGUGCCCAGGAUUUGGAGGGAGAUUUGGAUGCGUACUUUCCCUUAUUUUAAAGCUGAGAAACACAGAGGCUGAAAACCUGUGCUAGAGCGUGGCAGCACCCGGCUUUGAACCCGGGAAUCCGAUCCCUAAGGCGCACCUGUAACCUGGAGCCUGGAAGGGGCUGGUGCUUGCUGACUGGUCGAAUCAACAAGUAAAUGAAGCUGACUGGGCCUUGUUCCAAGCCCUGGGCUAGUUUACCUGGUGCUGGGAGAUUCCUGCUUCUCCCAGGAAGAACAUCUUUCCAGGCCAAGUAUACCAGGAAUUCAGUGCAACAUGGCCGCUGGCACGCCACUACGUCAGCAGCUUCAUUACAGGAGCCUUCGUCGUGGGUGCGAGAAGGAUAAAUGACCAGCCUGGGUGGCUCUUGACAGGGAUUUUGGAGCCUACCCAUUACCUCUCAGGGCUGGGAUUUCUAACUGUAUAGGAUACACCCCGGUCGGCAAACGUUCGUCAGUGUCCCUGAGGUUUCCAGACUGACGCAGUAGUACUGGAGAAGUUUGUUUGCACCCACCUUUUGGAAUAUGCUUCUAUUAAAUGAGAAUCUUGCAAGAAACUUGGCUUUCAUUCAUCAAAUGAAAUAAAGAAAAUGUCCCUUGAAAUGGC